Molecule: ribosomal RNA, 262 nt
Filed under: uncultured bacterium
Lineage: Bacteria
Description: partial 16S ribosomal RNA
Rfam family: Bacterial small subunit ribosomal RNA
Source: RNAcentral
GUCCUGGCCUUAACGAUGGAUGCUUGGUGUCUGGGUUUAUAGUCCCGGGUGCCGUAGCUAACGCGUUAAGCAUCCCGCCUGGGAGUACGGUCGCAAGACUGAACUCAAAGGAAUUGACGGGACCCGCACAAGCGGUGGAGCAUGUGGUUCAAUUCGACGCAACGCGAAGAACCUUACCUGGGCUAGAAUGCCUCUGACAACUCCAGAGAUGGAGCCUCUUAGGGAAACUUAGGCAGAGUGCAAGGUGCUGCAUGGCUGUCGU